RNAcentral lists this unclassified non-coding RNA (456 nucleotides) under Hevea brasiliensis (rubber tree). The record is from RNAcentral. Lineage: Eukaryota; Viridiplantae; Streptophyta; Magnoliopsida; Malpighiales; Euphorbiaceae.
AAAGAGUUAAAGAGAGAGAGAGCUCUCUCAGGCUUCAACCCUCAUGAUGGGAUCUUUAGUGGUGGCGGAAUACAAUGUGUCCUUUAUUGGUUUAAAGAUGUUGGUCUUUUGGUGGUAAUGUGGAGGCUUGAGGACUUUCACCAUGGCUGCUGAUUCUUCCUUUGAUGGUGCUAUUUUCGACUCGCCAAAAUCUAGUAAGUUGACUAUGCAAGAGAAGAGAGAACUUGUAUAUGAAAUUUCAAAGUCACAUGGUGCAAGUGAGACACUGCAGUCAUGGAGCCGUCAAGACAUUCUACAAGUCCUGUGUGCAGAGAUGGGGAAAGAAAGAAAAUAUACAGGCUUGACGAAGCAGAAAAUAAUAGAGCAUCUUUUGAGACUCAUAUCCGAAAAGAAGUCAUCCGUGCCUGACGUUUUGAAAAACCUUGAGCCACAGUCUCCUGCAGGUGGCCAUAAAAA